AAUGACUUUGAAAAUCUUUGUUUUGACCACUCACACUUUCUAUCCUUGCACCCCUCCAGGUUCUAGUAGCAAGGUUCCGUAUCGACGAGGACUUGUGGCACUCCAAGUUCUGGUGGCUCCUUAUAAUGGUAUAAUUAUGAUCUUUGCUCACUGUACUUGUCUUAUGCUCUGUAUCACGCGUGAAAUGGGUCCAGACCCGCUCACCGCACACUUGUGUACUUAGAUACUUUUAUAAUUAAUUUAUUCACAUUUUAUACAUUAUCACACUUUAUGGCUUCGUCACUUUCCUGGUGUUGGCCAGCACGGCUCGAUUCGGGGUCCUAGUGGACAUUUCGGGUCGGGGUGUGUCAAACAUGUAUCGACACAAUUUAUUCUCAAAUUGAAACGUACUUAUGCUAAAUUAAAACGUAUUCAUACCGAAUUAAAAUUUAUGGUUACUAAAUUGAAAUGUACCUGUAUUGGCUUGAAACAUACAUAUAGGUUUUAGGAUUACACAUAACUUGCCGUUAGUUUUUUGCGUGCUAAAAUUAUGAUAAUAUAAACGUAUUAGUAGCUUGGUACAUAUCUAAACAAAAAUAAAUAACAUGUCAAAAUACUUAUUUUGUAAAUAAAUUUGGAUUACAUAAUGUACCGAUAAUGUACCAAAUUACUGGUACACUAAUUUUUUUU
RNAcentral lists this long non-coding RNA (669 nucleotides) under Malus domestica (apple). RNAcentral describes it as "long non-coding RNA (MDOM_LNC020460)". The record is from RNAcentral. Lineage: Eukaryota; Viridiplantae; Streptophyta; Magnoliopsida; Rosales; Rosaceae.